AAUAUAUAACUUAUCGAUUUCCUAACCAAACAGUCGUAAAAAAAACAAUGAAAAUAUCUAAUAAAAAUACAGUUAGAACUAAAAACAUCGGAAUGAAGAAAAUAAUAAUCUACAACGUGAAAAUCUCGGCAUGUAUUUUAAUGGUAGUGGCUUUCUUGUGUGAAAUAUUUUAAGAUAACUUAACGUCGGAAACGCUGGCUAAAAAUGGAUAUUUGAGAUAGUGCUUCGUGUAUAAAAACGUAAAGUUUUCGAUUACGAUGCUGUGAAAUAACUCUUUCAUUACUUUAAUGAGACUGCCUACUGUCUGAUACCAUGCUUAUGAAGAGGCCUGAAAUGUAUGAACGAUAGACAAACACUUUUAAACAGGACGAAAUGAUAUUACUACAAAACUGUCUCUCCAGUACUAUUAAUAACACAACAAUAACGUUCUUAGAUCAAAUGAG
RNAcentral lists this unclassified non-coding RNA (443 nucleotides) under Melitaea cinxia (Glanville fritillary). RNAcentral describes it as "misc RNA ENSMCXG00005003703.1". Lineage: Eukaryota; Metazoa; Arthropoda; Insecta; Lepidoptera; Nymphalidae. The record is from RNAcentral.